Molecule: ribosomal RNA, 400 nt
Filed under: uncultured bacterium
Lineage: Bacteria
Description: bacterial SSU rRNA
Rfam family: Bacterial small subunit ribosomal RNA
Source: RNAcentral
UAAGGAAUAUUGGUCAAUGGGCGCAAGCCUGAACCAGCCAUGCCGCGUGCAGGAUGACAGCCCUACGGGUUGUAAACUGCUUUUGUACGGGAAAAAACCUCCGGUCGUGAAUCGGAGCUGAUGGUACCGUAAGAAUAAGCAUCGGCUAACUCCGUGCCAGCAGCCGCGGUAAUACGGAGGAUGCAAGCGUUAUCCGGAUUCAUUGGGUUUAAAGGGUGCGCAGGCGGAAUGGUAAGUCAGUGGUGAAAUCCUACGGCUUAACUGUAGAAUUGCCAUUGAUACUGUCGUUCUUGAGUAUAGUUGAAGUGGGCGGAAUGUGUCAUGUAGCGGUGAAAUGCUUAGAUAUGACACAGAACACCGAUCGCGAAGGCAGCUCGCUAAACUAUCACUGACGCUCAUG